AGACUGUCUGAUCAUUAUGAUGCCUAAAUAAUAGGAAAUGAAGCUUUAGAAUAUGGAACUGUCGAGAUGGUAAUCAUGAAGCUAUAGUGAAGAACAUACAUGAACUGUUAGUUAAGUUAGCCUGGGACUUCUCUCCCAACCAGUUGGACCACUUGUUUGGCUGCUUUCAGAAGAGCUGGGUAGGAGCUAGCAAGAAGCAAAGAGAUGAACUGUUGGAUUUCAUAAGACGCUUAGCAGAGGAUGACAAAGAAGGAAUAAUGGCCAGUAAAGUGCUGGAGCUCAAAAACUGAUUUAUUAUUUUUUGUUGAAAAUCUCAUAAGUGCCAUUACUAGUUCUGCUCGUUCCUGUCCCUCAGUUAUGAAGAGAAUAAUUCAUUUAUUACAAACACUAUCAGUCAAACAAUUUCCUGAGUUUGAAGAUAAAGUGCAGUUCAAUUCGAUUAGUGGGUUUAUCUUUUUGAGGUUUUUUGCUUCAGCCAUUUUGAAUCCAAAGUUAUUCGGACUACGACCCGAGAAUCCAAAUCAUACUGUCUCAAGGACUUUACUUCUCAUUUCUAAACUAUUCAAAAUUUAGGAAAUGUCGGAGCAAGAGUAAAAUAAUAAUCUGAGAGAGAGAGUGAGAGAGAUAAAGAUAUGUGUAUUAUUUAUUUACAUGUUUACUUCAUUUUUUCUUGAUGAAAGAGUCAACGUAUUUCAUUCCA
This 700-nucleotide long non-coding RNA is filed under the name Amphimedon queenslandica. RNAcentral's name for it is "uncharacterized LOC109588660". The record is from RNAcentral. Lineage: Eukaryota; Metazoa; Porifera; Demospongiae; Haplosclerida; Niphatidae.